UAUUUGAACUGUGGAAGGAUAGAAAUGUGAAAACAAGAGCGAACGGAGAGAACGCGGCAGGUAGCGCCGCCGCCCGCCGUUCUUCUCCCAUCAGCCGACAUCCUCCACCACUCGAUCCUUUGGCAGAGGAGCGAUGGAUUCUGGAGAACAUAUACGUUCCAUCUGGAGGUGAAGCGCCGUAUUCUUCCCCUUGAGCGAGAAGCCGGAAGUGGAGUUUACGGCAAGUCGAGCACCAGCACACCGAGGCAGAAACAAUAUACUACUAGUCCAAAAGAUAGGGAAUGCAAGGUUGGCAAGGAGGAUAUAUUUGUUCGAUGUAGCAGCCAUAUCCAUGACUAAGGAAGAAGGAAACUCUGAUCAGUGGAAUUGGUUUUACUUCCAAGAUCAAAAUAAAUCUGAUCGGUGCAAUAGAUUCUACUCCCAAAGAUUAACCACUGAGUGAUCGGUGCUUAUAUUCAUUGCUAUGUCAAAACAACCAACACUGCUUGUCUUCUUCAACAGGGAAGAAAAGUAGGGCACAGAGAUCAACUCACCGACGAAGGAGCUCUCUUGUCAUUCUCCAGUGCCACAAUCUGUUUAUCCUUGAACAUGCUUGAGCAUUCAUCUACAGUUGGCUUAAAAACUUUGAUAGCAGAGUUGCACCAGGCAUGAGAAAGCAGAUCAAGGGAUGCUUCAGGCCCUGUGGCUUUCAUCUCUAAGUCCAUCCAAUUCAGGAAGCCGACAACUCCAGGAGGAUCUGUAUUGGUUUAUGAGUUCUAUAUACAAUAUACAACAGAAUGAAGUGGGUCUACAGGGAACCCGAUGUUUCCUAUAGUUAAUGAGGUGUUCAUGCAUCUUUGAAAGAACAAGGUUUUCCACAUGACCAGCAUAAUUAGUGCAUCAGGAAAGCUAUUAGCUAUGACCCUUGCCUAGAUAAAGGGAGCACAUAAACAAAAUGGGAUUAGAGAUGGGAUGGAUCAUUACCACCAUCCAUGCUUGUGUACUUAAGAGAAGGAUGGAAUCAAAUGGGACCCUUCUGGAUAUGAAAUAUCUUUAUUAAAAUGGUCAGACUAUGCAGCCACCAGUCCUUAUUCAUGUCUAAACACUUUGUUGGGAGCCACUACCUUCAUUACCUUAGCCACCUAAAAUAUGUGAAAGCAAAAGGAAAAGGUGUGAUACAUGAUGUUGCGGAGCUCUCGAGCCUGACACCCGAACAUCUCCAGAGAAGAUGCCAAUGAUUUGUUUAUUAUAAAGAUGGUCCUUGGUCAUGAGUUUCUUGAUCAUCUCAUUUUCAAGCAAAGCUCAUUUCCAACUGUGGCUGAUACAUCUUGAGUUGCAAGAAUGAGAGUUACCUUUGCAUCGGUUGGCACCUUUUUUGUACGAGUAUGUUGGGUAAAGUGAAGUAUAUAUAACCUGUCUCUUAGUGUUUUGAAGAGUACUACUUGAACUUAUGGAAGUCAUCAUUGUCCAACCAAAUGCAGUGUCAUUUGGCAUCCUAGAAAAUGUGUAUGUGCUGCUGUGGUUAUCUGUGCCUAUUGCUUUAUUAGGUGAUGGAAGGACAACAGUGCUUAUUGCAGUAGCUACUAGAAAAUUGCUUUA
This is a long non-coding RNA of Musa acuminata AAA Group (dessert banana), 1578 nucleotides long. RefSeq lists it as uncharacterized. Lineage: Eukaryota; Viridiplantae; Streptophyta; Magnoliopsida; Zingiberales; Musaceae. The record is from RefSeq and is a predicted model, not a curated record. The transcript is spliced from 4 exons.